GGCCUCGGUGGUGCGUUGGCAGCACGCGCCCUCUGUAUGGGUUAAACGCGGGUUUAACUCCCGCCUAGGUCA
Parelaphostrongylus tenuis is the source of this 72-nucleotide non-coding RNA. Lineage: Eukaryota; Metazoa; Nematoda; Chromadorea; Rhabditida; Metastrongylidae. The record is from the annotation of a GenBank genome assembly.